Molecule: ribosomal RNA, 372 nt
Filed under: Triticum aestivum (bread wheat)
Lineage: Eukaryota; Viridiplantae; Streptophyta; Magnoliopsida; Poales; Poaceae
Description: partial small subunit ribosomal RNA
Source: RNAcentral
AUGUCCAUGUUUGAGAUGCGAAAAUGGUGUUUUUCCACAACCCGUUCGAAGGCAGCGUGCUGGCGCACUUGCUCUGUCGAGAUUUUGUUGCAGGUUAUACAUAGUGGACAAUGCAUGGUGAGGAGGAUGUUAGCGAUGAUGAAGGAGGAAACAAUGAUGCGGAAAACUCUGGCGAUGAAGCAGAGCCGCCAAAAGGAGGAAACAAUGAACAUGCGCAUGAAGAAAAUGAUGAAAUGCCACCGGAACAUGAAGAGGAUCAUGAGACUGUCACGCAGGAUAUGUCGUUGGCUACAAUGCUACAAGAUCCUCAUGUCAAAUAUCUGCUUCGGAAGAAGACGACAACCGAGAGAGAUGCUAUUAAAGAGGCUCUAA